UGUCGGGGUGUGUUUUCAGGUUGUGUUUGAGGUGUGAGCUCUGUGGUGGAAUAUUGGUUUGUAUUUAGUCCUCCCUCUGUUUUACUUAUGUCCUCUGUUAUGCAACAUGCGUAGUCAUGGUAACUUUGUCUUCUGUUGUUGUUAUCCCUUAAUCUUCUAUUUUCUGGCGUUGUACCUGACUUGUAAGUCUGCCAACUUAUUACAUUUAAUUGCAGUAAUUGACGUGUUUUCCUCUGACUGAAGGAGCGUCUCUCUGAGAGGCCUCUACUGUAUCUCUCGCCAUGAGACACUUCAGGACCACGGACAGCGGAGCUGGAGAGCCAAAUGGACCCUGAUUCUGCAUUGAGUCGUGGGUUAGGGUUAGGGUUAGGUUUGGGCCAAGUCUAGGGGUCAGGCCCAUCACACAGUGAGCUGCUGGCAGGGUUAGGGUCUAAAAAA
Clupea harengus (Atlantic herring) is the source of this 438-nucleotide long non-coding RNA. The record is from Ensembl. NCBI's taxonomy places the organism in Eukaryota, Metazoa, Chordata, Actinopteri, Clupeiformes, Clupeidae.